GUCAAUGUGGUGUAGUGGGUUGAGUGUUGGACUAUGAUUCUGGAGACCAGGGUUCGAUUCCUUGCUUGGCCA
Non-coding RNA from Phrynosoma platyrhinos (Desert horned lizard), 72 nucleotides. The record is from the annotation of a GenBank genome assembly. NCBI's taxonomy places the organism in Eukaryota, Metazoa, Chordata, Lepidosauria, Squamata, Phrynosomatidae.